Long non-coding RNA from Xenia sp. Carnegie-2017, 660 nucleotides. RefSeq lists it as uncharacterized. The transcript is spliced from 5 exons. Lineage: Eukaryota; Metazoa; Cnidaria; Anthozoa; Malacalcyonacea; Xeniidae. The record is from RefSeq and is a predicted model, not a curated record.
UUGAAAAGAACUCUUUCGACUAAGACGUACUUCUGACUUCUGUAUUAGAAUCGAUCAACUAUACUAGCGGAUGGAGAUAAAGCGUAAAGAAAUAUGAUUUGCAGUAAUAAUGAGGCCGUUGUUACCCUCAGGCAACAAUCACAAAACCAGAUGUGUACAACUUUUGAAAAAGCUCGGCUCCUAUAUAGGGUUAAGGAAUCGUAAAAUGAAAAGGGCAUCGAUCAACAACGAUUGAGUGCAUUGGGACAAUCUGUGGCCUUUUUCGAGUCCAUCUCUUCUUCUGAAGUUGCAGAACUUCUUAAAAUACAGGCUGACAAAGAACUUGUUGCAAAGAAGGGAAAAGAUGUGAAAAAAAAUUGAAAAAAAUUUAGUUCAUUGUUGUCGUCUAUUAUAAGAAAAACCUUCACCAACGACAGUGUUGUCCAUCUUCUCUCCAAAAGCACAUUCAUAAAUAGCACCAUGAACUUGGCCUUCUUGUCCUGGGUAUUGAUACUUUUUUACUUCUUUGGAGUCCGUGUUUAAUAUAACAAUACAACCUUUUUCGCAAUGUGUGCCAUUUUUUGUUACCCAUUCUUCAAGCCCACGGCAUCCAUACAAAACCAAUCCACCAUAGUUUGCACUUUUAGAGCCUGGUUUUCUUGGCUUGUAAAAGUCAGAUUU